This 497-nucleotide ribosomal RNA is filed under the name uncultured bacterium. RNAcentral describes it as "partial 16S ribosomal RNA". It matches the Rfam family "Bacterial small subunit ribosomal RNA", at positions 28 to 507 of the family's 1533-position model. The record is from RNAcentral.
GAUGAACGCUGGCGGCGUGCCUAAUACAUGCAAGUCGAGCGAACGGACGAGAAGCUUGCUUCUCUGAUGUUAGCGGCGGACGGGUGAGUAACACGUGGAUAACCUACCUAUAAGACUGGGAUAACUUCGGGAAACCGUAGCUAAUACCGGAUAAUAUUUUGAACCGCAUGGUUCAAAAGUGAAAGACGGUCUUGCUGUCACUUAUAGAUGGAUCCGCGCUGCAUUAGAUAGUUGGUAAGGUAACGGCUUACCAAGGCAACGAUGCAUAGCCGACCUGAGAGGGUGAUAGGCCACACUGGAACUGAGACACGGUCCAGACUCCUACGGGAGGCAGCAGUAGGGAAUCUUCCGCAAUGGGCGAAAGCCUGACGGAGCAACGCCGCGUGAGUGAUGAAGGUCUUCGGAUCGUAAAACUCUGUUAUUAGGGAAGAACAUAUGUGUAAGUAAAUGUGCACAUCUUGACGGUACCUAAUCAGAAAGCCACGGCUAACUACGUG